Molecule: long non-coding RNA, 533 nt
Organism: Platichthys flesus (European flounder)
Lineage: Eukaryota; Metazoa; Chordata; Actinopteri; Pleuronectiformes; Pleuronectidae
Exons: 4
Source: RefSeq, a predicted model, not a curated record
AGAACUGCGUUGCUCUCUCGGUUGACAAUGCAGCUGUGAACAUCGGACCACACAAUUCCGCCUCUAGGGUGCUCCAGAAACACCCCAACACCUAUAUUCAUGGUUGUCCUUGUCAUGUGGCCCAUAACACCGCCAAAGCUGCAGGAGGGGGAUUUUUUAAAGUGUCUGGUUUUGAUUUGGAGGACAUGGUAGUGGACAUCGGUUACUGGUUCAAAGGUAGCACAAAUCGGAAAGGAUACCUGACAGAGUUUUGUGAGCUGCAUGAAGCUGAGUACAUGGAGGUCCUCCUGCACAUCUCAGUUCGUUGGCUAAGCCUUGAACGUUGUGUGACCAGAAUCCUGAGGCUUUACGGACCUCUCGCGAGCUACUUCAAAUCUACUAAUGAAAAUCAGGCCAGAUUCAAGAGGCUUGUGCAGGCAUUUACUGACCCCAUGACAGAAGUGUACCUGCUGUUCUACAAAGCCAGCGUACCAACCUUCACUGAUUUCAACUUGCUUCUCCAGAGAGAGCAGUCAGCAAUAUAUUUGUUACAU